UACGUAGGCAGCAAGCGUUGUUCGGAAUUACUGGGCGUAAAGAGUGUGUAGGCGGUGCUCUAAGUCUGUUGUGAAAUCUCCCGGCUUAACCGGGAGGGUGCGGCGGAAACUGGAGUGCUUGAGGGUGGGAGAGGUAAGCGGAAUUCCUGGUGUAGCGGUGAAAUGCGUAGAUAUCAGGAAGAACACCUGUGGUGUAGACAGCUUACUGGACCACUUCUGACGCUGAGACACGAAAGCGUGGGUAGCAAACAGG
RNAcentral lists this ribosomal RNA (253 nucleotides) under uncultured bacterium. RNAcentral's name for it is "partial 16S ribosomal RNA". It matches the Rfam family "Bacterial small subunit ribosomal RNA", at positions 524 to 776 of the family's 1533-position model. The record is from RNAcentral.